AGUGAACGCUGGCGGUAUGCCUAACACAUGCAAGUCGAACGGCAGCGCGGUCUGCGCCCGCUCGUCCAGGUGGCGACUGGCGGGUGAGUGAUCAGUACGUCGCCAUCUAUUUUGUCGAGGGCGGCAACGGCGGGAUUAAUACGGCAUACCACCUUACGAUGUAAGGGUGGGACCGAAAGGCCUCCGGACCUUGCGCGGUCGGAUGUGGCGAUGUCGGAUUAGCUAGUUGGCGGGGUAAAGGCUCACCAAGGCGACGAUCCGUAGCUGGUCUGAGAGGAUGAUCAGCCACACUGGAACUGAGACACGGCCCAGACUCCUACGGGAGGCAGCAGUGGGGAAUAUUGGACAAUGGGCGCAAGCCUGAUCCAGCCAUGCCGCGUGCGUGAAGAAGGCCUUCGGGUUGUAAAGCGCUUUUGUUGGGGAAGAAAAGCAGCAGGUUAAUACCCCGGUGUUCUGACGGUACCCAAAGAAUAAGCACCGGCUAACUACGUG
Molecule: ribosomal RNA, 492 nt
Filed under: uncultured bacterium
Lineage: Bacteria
Description: partial 16S ribosomal RNA
Rfam family: Bacterial small subunit ribosomal RNA
Source: RNAcentral